Molecule: long non-coding RNA, 738 nt
Organism: Homarus americanus (American lobster)
Lineage: Eukaryota; Metazoa; Arthropoda; Malacostraca; Decapoda; Nephropidae
Exons: 7
Source: RefSeq, a predicted model, not a curated record
CACACCGUUGUGACGCCGCUAACAAGCCAUUUGCCCGAGUGAGCCGUGAGGGAAAGAUGUGUUUCGACUGGCUGUUGUGUUGUGAUUAAAUUUUUAGUAAUUUUUAUAUUAAGUUAUUUAAACACAAGCUUAUGUCGCUACCGUCCUCUGUGGAUAUCAAGCUUCCGUAGCCUUCCUUCACCAAUACAAGAGAGGACAGGUGCUGCCACUAGCGGCCGUAGGAUUUUUCCGGGUGGGGGGCGGUGCAAGAAAGCAAGACAAGACCUGACGUAUCAGUUUAUUCAAAACAGUAGGUUCUUCUGAAGCUGAAUGCUGUCUCUGGACUAAGGCACAUUUAGAGCUGCCUGAGAAACAGGAUGACAGUGGAAAGUAUCAUCUUCAUGUGAAUCACCAGACAACAGAGAGCAUCAGUGACCAUUGUACUGCUGUCACAAUCACUGCUCAGCGUCCUGAAGAGAAUGUGGUGCUGGGAGACCCAACAAGAACCUUCUUGCAUGCUACAGUUGGGUCUUCAGUGGUACUGGCCUUGAAUUUAAAAUAUUGUGUGGCUGUCUGAGGUGGACUGCUGGUUGGCUCAGGUGGAAGGCUGGCUGGACAAGAACACCACCAAACAGGUGUGUUUGGCUGACUGUGGACCCACAACAAGGUGCUUCCUGGAGGUUUUAAAGGCAAAAUGGACUUACAUUCAACAACUGGUGUGCAGUGUCCAGAUUGACAACAUUCCGUAAGUAAAAUCCC